This 73-nucleotide transfer RNA is filed under the name Ovis aries (sheep). It matches the Rfam family "tRNA". From Rfam's summary of the family: Transfer RNA (tRNA) molecules are approximately 80 nucleotides in length. Their secondary structure includes four short double-helical elements and three loops (D, anti-codon, and T loops). Further hydrogen bonds mediate the characteristic L-shaped molecular structure. tRNAs have two regions of fundamental functional importance: the anti-codon, which is responsible for specific mRNA codon recognition, and the 3' end, to which the tRNAs corresponding amino acid is attached (by aminoacyl-tRNA synthetases). tRNAs cope with the degeneracy of the genetic code in two manners: having more than one tRNA (with a specific anti-codon) for a particular amino acid; and 'wobble' base-pairing, i.e. permitting non-standard base-pairing at the 3rd anti-codon position. Lineage: Eukaryota; Metazoa; Chordata; Mammalia; Artiodactyla; Bovidae. The record is from Rfam by way of RNAcentral.
UCCCUGAUGGCUCAGACGGCAAAAGUGUCUGCCUGCAAUGUGGGGGACCCGGGUUCGAUUCCUGGGUAGGGAA